AUUGAACGCUGGCGGCAGGCCUAACACAUGCAAGUCGAACGGUAACAGGAAGCAGCUUGCUGCUUCGCUGACGAGUGGCGGACGGGUGAGUAAUGUCUGGGAAACUGCCUGAUGGAGGGGGAUAACUACUGGAAACGGUAGCUAAUACCGCAUAACGUCGCAAGACCAAAGAGGGGGACCUUAGGGCCUCUUGCCAUCGGAUGUGCCCAGAUGGGAUUAGCUAGUAGGUGGGGUAACGGCUCACCUAGGCGACGAUCCCUAGCUGGUCUGAGAGGAUGACCAGCCACACUGGAACUGAGACACGGUCCAGACUCCUACGGGAGGCAGCAGUGGGGAAUAUUGCACAAUGGGCGCAAGCCUGAUGCAGCCAUGCCGCGUGUAUGAAGAAGGCCUUCGGGUUGUAAAGUACUUUCAGCGGGAGGAAGGGAGUAAAGUUAAUACCUUUGCUCAUUGACGUUACCCGCAGAAGAAGCACCGGCUAACUCCGUG
This 489-nucleotide ribosomal RNA is filed under the name uncultured bacterium. RNAcentral's name for it is "partial 16S ribosomal RNA". It matches the Rfam family "Bacterial small subunit ribosomal RNA", at positions 30 to 507 of the family's 1533-position model. The record is from RNAcentral.